CAGACGAGGAGCUUGCUCCUCUGACGUUAGCGGCGGACGGGUGAGUAACACGUGGAUAACCUACCUAUAAGACUGGGAUAACUUCGGGAAACCGGAGCUAAUACCGGAUAAUAUAUUGAACCGCAUGGUUCAAUAGUGAAAGACGGUUUUGCUGUCACUUAUAGAUGGAUCCGCGCCGCAUUAGCUAGUUGGUAAGGUAACGGCUUACCAAGGCAACGAUGCGUAGCCGACCUGAGAGGGUGAUCGGCCACACUGGAACUGAGACACGGUCCAGACUCCUACGGGAGGCAGCAGUAGGGAAUCUUCCGCAAUGGGCGAAAGCCUGACGGAGCAACGCCGCGUGAGUGAUGAAGGUCUUCGGAUCGUAAAACUCUGUUAUUAGGGAAGAACAAAUGUGUAAGUAACUAUGCACGUCUUGACGGUACCUAAUCAGAAAGCCACGGCUAACUACGUGCCAGCAGCCGCGGUAAUACGUAGGUGGCAAGCGUUAUCCGGAAUUAUUGGGCGUAAAGCGCGCGUAGGCGGUUUUUUAAGUCUGAUGUGAAAGCCCACGGCUCAACCGUGGAGGGUCAUUGGAAACUGGAAAACUUGAGUGCAGAAGAGGAAAGUGGAAUUCCAUGUGUAGCGGUGAAAUGCGCAGAGAUAUGGAGGAACACCAGUGGCGAAGGCGACUUUCUGGUCUGUAACUGACGCUGAUGUGCGAAAGCGUGGGGAUCAAACAGGAUUAGAUACCCUGGUAGUCCACGCCGUAAACGAUGAGUGCUAAGUGUUAGGGGGUUUCCGCCCCUUAGUGCUGCAGCUAACGCAUUAAGCACUCCGCCUGGGG
Molecule: ribosomal RNA, 826 nt
Filed under: Staphylococcus epidermidis
Lineage: Bacteria; Bacillati; Bacillota; Bacilli; Caryophanales; Staphylococcaceae
Description: bacterial SSU rRNA
Rfam family: Bacterial small subunit ribosomal RNA
Source: RNAcentral